Fukomys damarensis (Damara mole-rat) is the source of this 104-nucleotide non-coding RNA. The record is from Rfam. Lineage: Eukaryota; Metazoa; Chordata; Mammalia; Rodentia; Bathyergidae.
AUCCUUUGGUUCAUGUGAGAGCAUGAUGGUCGAGUGUUCAUGCCAUAUGUGUGAAAUGUACCUCCCCUCAGAUAUUACUAUGUCAGCACAUUACCUGUCUGACA